CUGCACGUGACGCAUUAUCAGUGAUUUAGCAGGCUAAAAAGCUUAUGAAUUAUUAAUAAGUGGUUGACUGAACACUCGGCUACUAAAACCAGCAUUUCCUGCGCGCAUCACGCCUGUGAGGUCAUUAUGCAUAAGGUUUAUUUUUAGCUGUUGUGAAGAUCUCCGGCCCCGAUCUUGAUGGAACAACUGCAUGCAUAUUUAAUUGUUUUUUAUUUCUAUCCAGAUUUGAAUUUCAUAAGAUGACUUGUGUUGGUUUUCUCAUUUUAUUUGGUCUGAGUUUUGUGUUGUUUUCAUGCGAAGGUCAGACUUUAUAUUUUUAUUUUUACAAAUUUUAUUUCCCCAUGUAUUAUUUCCUUUAUUUAUCUAAGUUGAGUGAGUUGUCUUUCCCCAUCCCCACUGGAUCCCUUCGUGACAAUACAUGAUUGGUGGUCAGACUAGGUUUUUCAGUUAACCGAAAAAUUCGGGUUUUUUUCAAAAUUGGUGAUCAUU
Paramuricea clavata is the source of this 489-nucleotide non-coding RNA. The record is from the annotation of a GenBank genome assembly. Lineage: Eukaryota; Metazoa; Cnidaria; Anthozoa; Malacalcyonacea; Plexauridae.